Molecule: ribosomal RNA, 465 nt
Filed under: uncultured bacterium
Lineage: Bacteria
Description: partial 16S ribosomal RNA
Rfam family: Bacterial small subunit ribosomal RNA
Source: RNAcentral
CCUACGGGCGGCUGCAGUAGGGAAUCUUCCACAAUGGGCGAAAGCCUGAUGGAGCAACGCCGCGUGGGUGAAGAAGGUCUUCGGAUCGUAAAACCCUGUUGUUAGCGAAGAAAGUGCGUGCGAGUAACUGUUCCCGUUUCGACGGUAUCUAACCAGAAAGCCCCGGCUAACUACGUGCCAGCAGCCGCGGUAAUCCGUAGGUGGCAAGCGUUAUCCGGAUUUAUUGGGCGUAAAGGGAACGCAGGCGGUCUUUUAAGUCUGAUGUGAAAGCCUUCGGUUUAACCGGAGGAGUGCAUUGGAAACGGGGAGACGUGAGUGCAGAAGAGGAGAGUGGAACUCAAUGUGUAGCGGUGAAAUGCGUAGAUAUAUGGAAGAACACCAGUGGCGAAAGCGGCUCUCUGGGCUGUAACUGACGCUGAGGUUCGAAAGCGUGGGUAGCAAACAGGAUUAGAUACCCCAGUAGGC